GAUGAACGCUGGCGGCGUGCCUAAUACAUGCAAGUCGAGCGAACGGACGAGAAGCUUGCUUCUCUGAUGUUAGCGGCGGACGGGUGAGUAACUCGUGGAUAACCUACCUAUAAGACUGGGAUAACUUCGGGAAACCGGAGCUAAUACCGGAUAAUAUUUUGAACCGCAUGGUUCAAAAGUGAAAGACGGUCUUGCUGUCACUUAUAGAUGGAUCCGCGCUGCAUUAGCUAGUUGGUAAGGUAACGGCUUACCAAGGCAACGAUGCAUAGCCGACCUGAGAGGGUGAUCGGCCACACUGGAACUGAGACACGGUCCAGACUCCUACGGGAGGCAGCAGUAGGGAAUCUUCCGCAAUGGGCGAAAGCCUGACGGAGCAACGCCGCGUGAGUGAUGAAGGUCUUCGGAUCGUAAAACUCUGUUAUUAGGGAAGAACAUAUGUGUAAGUAACUGUGCACAUCUUGACGGUACCUAAUCAGAAAGCCACGGCUAACUACGUGCCAGCAGCCGCGGUAAUACGUAGGUGGCAAGCGUUAUCCGGAAUUAUUGGGCGUAAAGCGCGCGUAGGCGGUUUUUUAAGUCUGAUGUGAAAGCCCACGGCUCAACCGUGGAGGGUCAUUGGAAACUGGAAAACUUGAGUGCAGAAGAGGAAAGUGGAAUUCCAUGUGUAGCGGUGAAAUGCGCAGAGAUAUGGAGGAACACCAGUGGCGAAGGCGACUUUCUGGUCUGUAACUGACGCUGAUGUGCGAAAGCGUGGGGAUCAAACAGGAUUAGAUACCCUGGUAGUCCACGCCGUAAACGAUGAGUGCUAAGUGUUAGGGGGUUUCCGCCCCUUAGUGCUGCAGCUAACGCAUUUAAGCACUCCGCCUGGGGAGUACGACCGCAAGGUUGAAACUCAAAGGAAUUGACGGGGACCCGCACAAGCGGUGGAGCAUGUGGUUUAAUUCGAAGCAACGCGAAGAACCUUACCAAAUCUUGACAUCCUUGACAAACUCUAGAGAUAGAGCCUUCUCCUUCGGGGGACAAAGUGACAGGUGGUGCAUGGUUGUCGUCAGCUCGUGUCGUGAGAUGUUGGGUUAAGUCCCGCAACGAGCGCAACCCUUAAGCUUAGUUGCCAUCAUUAAGUUGGGCACUCUAAGUUGACUGCCGGUGACAAACCGGAGGAAGGUGGGGAAGACGUCAAAUCAUCAUCCCCCUUAUGAUGUGGGCUACACACGUGCUACAAUGGACAAUACAAAGGGCAGCGAAACCGCGAGGUCAAGCAAAUCCCAUAAAGUUGUUCUCAGUUCGGAUUGUAGUCUGCAACUCGACUACAUGAAGCUGGAAUCGCUAGUAAUCGUAGAUCAGCAUGCUACGGAGAAUACGUUCCCGG
This 1369-nucleotide ribosomal RNA is filed under the name uncultured bacterium. Its description in RNAcentral is "16S ribosomal RNA". It matches the Rfam family "Bacterial small subunit ribosomal RNA", at positions 28 to 1377 of the family's 1533-position model. The record is from RNAcentral.